AACACGUGGAUAAUCUGCCCUAGGGUGGAGGAUAACCUCGGGAAACUGAGAAUAAUACUCCAUAGGUUUAGGAGGCUGGAAUGCACUUAAACUGAAAAUUCCGGUGCCCUAGGAUGAGUCUGCGGACUAUCAGGUUGUAGUCAGGGUAAAGACCUGACUAGCCUACGACAGAUAUGGGUUGUGAGAGCAAUAACCCAGAGAUGAUAUCUGAGACACGAUAUCAGGCCCUACGGGGCGCAGCAGGCGCGAAAACUUCACAAUGUGCGAAAGCACGAUGAGGGAAUCCCAAGUGCUUGCACGUAAGUGUAAGCUGUUUUUCUGUAUAAAAAGCAGAGAGAGUAAGGGCUGGGUAAGACGGGUGCCAGCCGCCGCGGUAAUACCUGCAGCUCAAGUGGUGACCGUUAUUAUUGGGCCUAAAACGUUCGUAGCCGGUUUAUUAAAUGCCUGGGUAAAUCGUGUAGC
This 462-nucleotide ribosomal RNA is filed under the name uncultured archaeon. RNAcentral's name for it is "bacterial SSU rRNA". It matches the Rfam family "Archaeal small subunit ribosomal RNA", at positions 95 to 558 of the family's 1478-position model. The record is from RNAcentral.